AGAGUUUGAUCCUGGCUCAGAACGAACGCUGGCGGCAUGCCUAACACAUGCAAGUCGAACGAGACCUUCGGGUCUAGUGGCGCACGGGUGCGUAACGCGUGGGAACCUGCCUUUAGGUUCGGAAUAACUCAGAGAAAUUUGAGCUAAUACCGGAUAAUGUCUUCGGACCAAAGAUUUAUCGCCUUUAGAUGGGCCCGCGUUGGAUUAGCUAGUUGGUGGGGUAAAGGCCUACCAAGGCGACGAUCCAUAGCUGGUCUGAGAGGAUGAUCAGCCACACUGGGACUGAGACACGGCCCAGACUCCUACGGGAGGCAGCAGUGGGGAAUAUUGGACAAUGGGCGAAAGCCUGAUCCAGCAAUGCCGCGUGAGUGAUGAAGGCCUUAGGGUUGUAAAGCUCUUUUACCCGAGAUGAUAAUGACAGUAUCGGGAGAAUAAGCUCCGGCUAACUCCGUGCCAGCAGCCGCGGUAAUACGGAGGGAGCUAGCGUUGUUCGGAAUUACUGGGCGUAAAGCGCACGUAGGCGGCUUUUUAAGUCAGGGGUGAAAUCCCGGGGCUCAACCCCGGAACUGCCCUUGAAACUGGGAAGCUAGAAUCUUGGAGAGGCGAGUGGAAUUCCGAGUGUAGAGGUGAAAUUCGUAGAUAUUCGGAAGAACACCAGUGGCGAAGGCGACUCGCUGGACAAGUAUUGACGCUGAGGAGCGAAAGCGUGGGUAGCGAACAGGAUUAGAUACCCUGGUAGUCC
RNAcentral lists this ribosomal RNA (742 nucleotides) under uncultured bacterium. Its description in RNAcentral is "bacterial SSU rRNA". It matches the Rfam family "Bacterial small subunit ribosomal RNA", at positions 8 to 796 of the family's 1533-position model. The record is from RNAcentral.